Polypterus senegalus (gray bichir) is the source of this 2292-nucleotide long non-coding RNA. RefSeq lists it as uncharacterized. The record is from RefSeq and is a predicted model, not a curated record. NCBI's taxonomy places the organism in Eukaryota, Metazoa, Chordata, Cladistia, Polypteriformes, Polypteridae. The transcript is spliced from 3 exons.
GUGGACUGUCCUCAGUGAUCAUCAUAAUAACAGUUGGCACAUGUACCCUUAGGAUCAAGACAAAGUAUUUAUCAGACUGAAGGCUUUUGGGACAUCGUUGGACGAGUUAAGGCCCAGAGCUGGCAGGACUGUGCAGUACCACCGGAGCUUUUAUACUAGCAGAUGAUAGGAGCAGUUGACCCAAAGACCGUUUGGACAAGGAGGGGGUAAAAAAAAAAAAAAAGAAAAAAUGUUCUGUGCAAAUUGUGAUUGUUAAUAAAGAACAUGAGUGGUCUCAGUGUUUGUAUUUGGGUGCACAUGGGGACAGUGGGCUUUUAUGAACUUGGCUCUCACAGCCAAGGGGGACAAGUUACAAGUCCAAACAAGAUGUGUUCGGGCACAGGAAGGAGAAAGUCAAGGCUUGGUACCAAAAUUUAACAUGGAUUACCAGGGUUAUAAGUGGGCAAAAGUUGAGACUUUAUGCGAUUACAUUGCCAACCUUUUAUUAAAAGCAAAAAUCGGGCCAGAAAACGCACUAAAGUCUGGUUCUACUUUCAGCAUCGCACACAGAAAAAAGAGACUUCAAGCUCUACCAAACUGAAUAAGCCACAAAACGAAGCCUCUGCAAGUUAAAAAGAUCAACGUCUUAACGUCAGAAACACGCGAACGCCAAAACGCAGCAGCGGCACCGCCAGUUCGUCCAAGUACACGAUACAGCAACAAAAAUACGGAAAACUCGCCGCAAGCCCCUAAAAACACAACGCCAGUUUAAACAAGAGCGGAUUCCCAAUCUAGAAAAGCCCCAAGUAUUCCACAAGCCGACAUGGCAAACGCACCGUCACUGAACCGCGAAACUCCAAAACUAGCCAGGGAAACACAGCGCCUCUAACCUGCGGGGAGUCAGAAACGCAAAUGCCGUUCAAAAAGUCAAAGCGUAGCCGAGCCUGACACCGCCGCACUAACAUUGCAAAAAAAGUCUGAAGAUUCAUCCAGGUGAAGACUGACGAAGUGCUUGGAGAAGCAGUGGAACGUAUCUACCUAACAAGAAAGAAGUCCAGAUGAAAUGAUUCAACUAUCAUAUUGCAAAAAACCGUCGAACAAAAACUACGAAGCAGCCAAACGCUAAAACGAAAUUACACAAAAAACUGCUCCUCUUGACGAUCUACCGCCUCCACUUAAAUACAAGUCAGUCAGCACGCCAAACCCCAAUCACGGAAAAGAACAUCAAGAGCGAGACGAGCAGUUCGACAGAAAAACUCAAAUAAGCCCGAAGGCUCGCCGCGUGGCCUUAAGUGCGAAACGCCUCCAGCACACCUGACACAGGUCUGCACUGAUUGUCGGAAACGUCAUGGGAUGACACGCCUCCGCAGUGACAAACCAAUACAAUUCAAAGUCGGAAAGAUGGAUCGGCCUCUUGUUUAAAUAAAAAGGAACCGGUAAACAAACAGCAGCCGUCAGCGGCGAGCUGUCAAAAUGAGAUCUGCAAAGACAAAAGACGUCUGAGGCGCAAAAAUGUUGGCUUUACCGGGGGUCGCACUGAAAAAGGAAAACGGUAACGUACGACCGAGAGCACCUCUAACUCAACAAUACAACAAAAUAUAACGUCAACAAGUAACCUGACUGUGUAUGCCAACUCGAGAAAUCGUCCGUAACCACCUGAAAUUCGCAGUCCCGUUAUGUUUCCUGACUGAAGACACCUCUCUGCACGUCUGGCCGCACCUGACAUUCAAGCUCAUUCCACUUCCCCACGAAUAAUGAAUGUUUACUAAGAGCCGGAGAAGCGCCGACGACACGUGACACCAACCCCCGAGGUUCAGCACCGACCACGCGCCGCGUUCUCUUCGGGCAGCAAGGUGGCUCGGCGGGAAGCGUCGACACCACACGGCUCCGGGCGCUAUGGGAUCGAAUCCAGCCCGCGACCCCCAUGCGGAGUUUGCAUGUACUAAUAAGUGUAAUCCCCAUUUUUUGGCAUAAAGGAAGUGACCCGACAUCUACAUCUGAAUCCCAGAUUGGGAGCUAUGGGUAGAAAUCCUCCGCUCAAAGAGAGCAGCUUUCACCGCAGAUGACAGGCGCGAUCACCAGGGCAUUGAUUAACAUUCACGACUAUAUAGUCAGCUUUGCGCGAUCACAAUAAGUACCCUGUUUACUUUAAAUCGGCAUGUAGUCGGAAUGACGCCGUCGUCCUGCACAUCAUUUUUAGACUUCAACCAACACCAACAGAAACCCCAACUAAAAGCAGAGUCACGCCGGCUCAGACGUUUUCAUUCCCUGCUCUUUGGUGUAUUUAAUCAAAGGAAAAACCGACAAUGCCAG